UCCCAUAUUGUCUAGGGGUUAGGAUACCUGGCUCUCACCCAGGAGGCUCGGGUUCAAUUGCCGGAAUGGGAA
RNAcentral lists this transfer RNA (72 nucleotides) under Daphnia pulex (common water flea). It matches the Rfam family "tRNA". Rfam says of the family: Transfer RNA (tRNA) molecules are approximately 80 nucleotides in length. Their secondary structure includes four short double-helical elements and three loops (D, anti-codon, and T loops). Further hydrogen bonds mediate the characteristic L-shaped molecular structure. tRNAs have two regions of fundamental functional importance: the anti-codon, which is responsible for specific mRNA codon recognition, and the 3' end, to which the tRNAs corresponding amino acid is attached (by aminoacyl-tRNA synthetases). tRNAs cope with the degeneracy of the genetic code in two manners: having more than one tRNA (with a specific anti-codon) for a particular amino acid; and 'wobble' base-pairing, i.e. permitting non-standard base-pairing at the 3rd anti-codon position. Lineage: Eukaryota; Metazoa; Arthropoda; Branchiopoda; Diplostraca; Daphniidae. The record is from Rfam by way of RNAcentral.